RNAcentral lists this small nuclear RNA (158 nucleotides) under Bos grunniens (domestic yak). RNAcentral's name for it is "U2 spliceosomal RNA (ENSBGRG00000012479.1)". It matches the Rfam family "U2 spliceosomal RNA". From Rfam's summary of the family: U2 is a small nuclear RNA (snRNA) component of the spliceosome (involved in pre-mRNA splicing). Complementary binding between U2 snRNA (in an area lying towards the 5' end but 3' to hairpin I) and the branchpoint sequence (BPS) of the intron results the bulging out of an unpaired adenosine, on the BPS, which initiates a nucleophilic attack at the intronic 5' splice site, thus starting the first of two transesterification reactions that mediate splicing. RNAcentral also lists the same sequence under 1 other name. Lineage: Eukaryota; Metazoa; Chordata; Mammalia; Artiodactyla; Bovidae. The record is from Rfam by way of RNAcentral.
AUCGCUUCUCGGCCUUUUGGCUAAGAUCAAGUGUAAUUCUCUACUGAAAUAUUAAUUAUAGACAUUUAGUGUUUAUGUACAAUAACUCCAAUUUCUUGUUGCUUAUGCUGCUGCUGCUGCUAAGUCACUUCAGUCGUGUCCGACUCUGUGAGACCCCA